ACAACCGCAACAUGUACCAGAUGAACCACCACAUCCUCUCGACUUUCCACAACUUGAUCACCCCAUUGUUACGUGUGCAAAUC
This is a long non-coding RNA of Belonocnema kinseyi, 83 nucleotides long. RefSeq lists it as uncharacterized. The transcript is spliced from 3 exons. Lineage: Eukaryota; Metazoa; Arthropoda; Insecta; Hymenoptera; Cynipidae. The record is from RefSeq and is a predicted model, not a curated record.